AGCAGCGUGGCUCAGUGAAAAGAGCCCAGGCUUGAGAGUCAGAGGUCAUGGGUUCGAAUCCCAGCUCUGCCA
Ornithorhynchus anatinus (platypus) is the source of this 72-nucleotide non-coding RNA. NCBI's taxonomy places the organism in Eukaryota, Metazoa, Chordata, Mammalia, Monotremata, Ornithorhynchidae. The record is from Rfam.